GACAGCAGUCGCCGCGGUAAUACGGAGGGUGCAAGCGUUAAUCGGAAUUACUGGGCGUAAAGCGCACGCAGGCGGUCUGUUAAGUCAGAUGUGAAAUCCCCGGGCUCAACCCGGGAACUGCAUUUGAAACUGGCAGGCUGGAGUCUUGUAGAGGGGGGUAGAAUUCCAGGUGUAGCGGUGAAAUGCGUAGAGAUCUGGAGGAAUACCGGUGGCGAAGGCGGCCCCCUGGACAAAGACUGACGCUCAGGUGCGAAAGCGUGGGGAGCAAACAGGAUUAGAUACCCGUGUAGUCCCUGUCUCUUAUAC
Molecule: ribosomal RNA, 306 nt
Filed under: uncultured bacterium
Lineage: Bacteria
Description: partial 16S ribosomal RNA
Rfam family: Bacterial small subunit ribosomal RNA
Source: RNAcentral